RNAcentral lists this ribosomal RNA (408 nucleotides) under uncultured Pseudonocardia sp. Its description in RNAcentral is "bacterial SSU rRNA". It matches the Rfam family "Bacterial small subunit ribosomal RNA", at positions 355 to 774 of the family's 1533-position model. The record is from RNAcentral. Lineage: Bacteria; Bacillati; Actinomycetota; Actinomycetes; Pseudonocardiales; Pseudonocardiaceae.
UGGGGAAUAUUGCGCAAUGGGCGGAAGCCUGACGCAGCGACGCCGCGUGGGGGAUGACGGCCUUCGGGUUGUAAACCUCUUUCGACCCCGACGAAGGGUGACUGACGGUAGGGGUAGAAGAAGCACCGGCCAACUACGUGCCAGCAGCCGCGGUAAUACGUAGGGUGCGAGCGUUGUCCGGAAUUAUUGGGCGUAAAGAGCUCGUAGGCGGUCUGUCGCGUCGGUCGUGAAAACCUGCAGCUUAACUGUGGGCGUGCGGUCGAUACGGGCAUGACUGGAGUUCGGCAGGGGAGACUGGAAUUCCUGGUGUAGCGGUGAAAUGCGCAGAUAUCAGGAGGAACACCGGUGGCGAAGGCGGGUCUCUGGGCCGAUACUGACGCUGAGGAGCGAAAGCGUGGGGAGCGAACA